AACGAACGCUGGCGGCAGGCUUAACACAUGCAAGUCGAACGCGUGUAGCAAUACACGAGUGGCGCACGGGUGAGUAACGCGUGGAUAUCUGCCUUUUGGUUCGGAAUAACUCCGGGAAACUGGAGCUAAUACCGGAUGGUUCCUUCGGGAUAAAGAUUUAUCGCCAAAAGAUGAGUCCGCGUACGAUUAGCUAGUUGGUGAGGUAAUGGCUCACCAAGGCGACGAUCGUUAGCUGGUCUGAGAGGACGAUCAGCCACACUGGGACUGAGACACGGCCCAGACUCCUACGGGAGGCAGCAGUGGGGAAUAUUGGACAAUGGGGGCAACCCUGAUCCAGCCAUGCCGCGUGAGUGAUGAAGGCCUUCGGGUUGUAAAGCUCUGUCUUCAGGGACGAUAAUGACGGUACCUGAGGAGGAAGCCACGGCUAACUACGUGCCAGCCGCCGCGGUAA
Molecule: ribosomal RNA, 451 nt
Filed under: uncultured bacterium
Lineage: Bacteria
Description: partial 16S ribosomal RNA
Rfam family: Bacterial small subunit ribosomal RNA
Source: RNAcentral